Ribosomal RNA from Scophthalmus maximus (turbot), 119 nucleotides. NCBI's taxonomy places the organism in Eukaryota, Metazoa, Chordata, Actinopteri, Pleuronectiformes, Scophthalmidae. The record is from Ensembl.
GCUUAUGGCCACACCGCCUGGUUCACGGCUGAUCUCGUUUGAUCUCGGAAGCCAAGAUAGGUCGGGCCUGGUUAGUACUUGGAUGGGAGACCGCCUGGGAAUACCAGGUGCUGUAAGCU